AAUAGAUACCCAGGUAGUCCACGCCUUAAGCGAUGAGAGCUAGUUGUCAGUAAGCAUGCUUAUUGGUGACGCAGCUAACGCAUUAAGCUCUCCGCCUGGGGAGUACGGCCGCAAGGUUAAAACUCAAAGGAAUUGACGGGUCCCCGCACAAGCGGCGGAGCAUGCGGCUUAAUUCGAUGCAACCCGAAGAACCUUACCUGGGUUUGACAUCACGGGAAAAGCUGUAGAAAUACAGUGUCCAUUAGGGCCCGUGACAGGUGGUGCAUGGCUGUCGUCAGCUCGUGUCGUGAGAUGUUGGGUUAAGUCCCGCAACGAGCGCAACCCUUGUCCUAUGUUGCCAGCGGUUCGGCCGGGGACUCAUAGGAGACUGCCGGGGAUAACUCGGAGGAAGGUGAGGACGACGUCAAGUCACCAUGCCCCUUAUAUCCAGGGCUGCACGCAUGCUACAAUGGCCGGUACAACGGGCAGCGACCCCGCGAGGGUGAGCGAAUCCUAAAAAGCCCGUCUAGUUCGGAUUGAAGU
Molecule: ribosomal RNA, 522 nt
Filed under: uncultured bacterium
Lineage: Bacteria
Description: bacterial SSU rRNA
Rfam family: Bacterial small subunit ribosomal RNA
Source: RNAcentral